RNAcentral lists this ribosomal RNA (556 nucleotides) under Phyllopsora teretiuscula. Its description in RNAcentral is "SSU rRNA". It matches the Rfam family "Bacterial small subunit ribosomal RNA", at positions 370 to 925 of the family's 1533-position model. The record is from RNAcentral. Lineage: Eukaryota; Fungi; Ascomycota; Lecanoromycetes; Lecanorales; Ramalinaceae.
AAUAGCCUAACGGCUGAACCAGCAACUUGGAGGAAUGAAUAGCAAUAGCUAAUUGCGCAAAUACAUGAUGCAAUAUCGACUCAGUCGAAUAAAAUUCAGGUUAAAAUUAUGAUAAUGACAUUGUUUAGCCAUUUGUCUUGACCAAAUUACGUGCCAGCAGUCGCGGUAAUACGUAGAAGACUAGUGUUAUUCAUCUUUAAUAGGUUUAAAGGGUACCCAGACGGUAAAUCAAGCCUUAGACGGGACUAAUUUGCUAGAGUUACUUACGCGGGGGUUUUAAAGUACUAAUGGUGUAGAGAUAAAAUUUUGUAAUACCAUUUUUCGAAAGAAAAGUUAUGGCACUGGUAAAGGCGAAAGCAUCCCCUAAUGUGAUAACUGACGUUGAAGGACGAAGGCUUUGGAUCGCGAAUAGGAUUAGAUACCCUAGUAGUCGAAGCAGAAAAUUAUGAGUGUUAUAGAUUAGAGAUUAACUUUAUUUUAUAAAUGAAAGUGUAAGCACUCCACCUCAAGAGUAAUUUGGCAACAUUGGAACUGAAAUCAUUAGACCGUUUCUGAA